Molecule: ribosomal RNA, 270 nt
Filed under: Xanthomonas citri pv. citri
Lineage: Bacteria; Pseudomonadati; Pseudomonadota; Gammaproteobacteria; Lysobacterales; Lysobacteraceae
Description: partial 16S ribosomal RNA
Rfam family: Bacterial small subunit ribosomal RNA
Source: RNAcentral
UUAACCCCGGAUCUGCGGUGGGUACGGGCAGACUAGAGUGCAGUAGGGGAGACUGGAAUUCCUGGUGUAGCGGUGGAAUGCGCAGAUAUCAGGAGGAACACCGAUGGCGAAGGCAGGUCUCUGGGCUGUAACUGACGCUGAGGAGCGAAAGCAUGGGGAGCGAACAGGAUGAGAUACCCUGGUAGUCCAUGCCGUAAACGUUGGGCACUAGGUGUGGGGACCAUUCCACGGUUUCCGCGCCGCAGCUAACGCAUUAAGUGCCCCGCCUGG